AAUCAACGCUGGCGGCGUGCCUCAGACAUGCAAGUCGAACGAUUAAAGCUCUCUUCGGAGAGUGUAUAGAGUGGCGCACGGGUGAGUAACACGUAAGUAAUCUACCUUUGAGUGGGGAAUAACAGUCGGAAACGACUGCUAAUACCGCAUAAUGCAGCGGCAUCGCAAGAUGACAGUUGUUAAAGGAGCAAUCCGCUUAAAGAGGAGCUUGCGGCAGAUUAGCUAGUUGGUAAGGUAAUGGCUUACCAAGGCUACGAUCUGUAUCCGGUCUAAGAGGACGGUCGGACACACUGACACUGAAUAACGGGUCAGACUCCUACGGGAGGCAGCAGUCGGGAAUUUUGGGCAAUGGGCGAAAGCCUGACCCAGCAACGCCGCGUGAAGGAUGAAGUAUUUCGGUAUGUAAACUUCGAAAGAAUGGAAGAAUAAAUGACGGUACCAUUUAUAAGGUCCGGCUAACUACGUGCCAGCAG
This 473-nucleotide ribosomal RNA is filed under the name uncultured bacterium. RNAcentral's name for it is "bacterial SSU rRNA". It matches the Rfam family "Bacterial small subunit ribosomal RNA", at positions 32 to 514 of the family's 1533-position model. The record is from RNAcentral.